RNAcentral lists this unclassified non-coding RNA (304 nucleotides) under uncultured fungus. RNAcentral describes it as "partial contains 5.8S ribosomal RNA, internal transcribed spacer 2, and large subunit ribosomal RNA". The stretch from base 1 to 52 matches the Rfam family "5.8S ribosomal RNA", at positions 103 to 154 of the family's 154-position model. The record is from RNAcentral. Lineage: Eukaryota; Fungi.
AACGCAAAUUGCACUCCCUGGUAUUCCGGGGAGUAUGCCUGUUUGAGGGUCAGUUUAAAUAAAGAUCGAGGUGUUGCUUCUUGUGACGCAUCGGAAUUGGGUUAUCUUUGUGUCCUUCGGAUUUUUAAGAGACCUAAAAUUGAUACCUUGUGCAUCUCAGACGUACAUAAGAAAUUUUUUUUUUUUUAUCCGUCCCGAGUGCCAAUUCUUAUUAGGUAUGACCAUGGUUAAUUCUCGUGGCAUUGUACCUAUAAUAUACUCAUAUGUUGACCUCAAAUCAGGUAGGAGUACCCGCUGAACUUAA